RNAcentral lists this transfer RNA (76 nucleotides) under Crocinitomicaceae bacterium. Its description in RNAcentral is "tRNA-Trp". It matches the Rfam family "tRNA". Rfam says of the family: Transfer RNA (tRNA) molecules are approximately 80 nucleotides in length. Their secondary structure includes four short double-helical elements and three loops (D, anti-codon, and T loops). Lineage: Bacteria; Pseudomonadati; Bacteroidota; Flavobacteriia; Flavobacteriales; Crocinitomicaceae. The record is from RNAcentral. RNAcentral also lists the same sequence under 1 other name.
AUUGGUGUAGCUCAAUUGGUAGAGCGACGGAUUCCAAAUCCGUUGGUUGGGGGUUCGAGUCCCUUCACCUUUGCCA